Molecule: long non-coding RNA, 607 nt
Organism: Phyllostomus discolor (pale spear-nosed bat)
Lineage: Eukaryota; Metazoa; Chordata; Mammalia; Chiroptera; Phyllostomidae
Exons: 2
Source: RefSeq, a predicted model, not a curated record
UUUGCCUCACCCUAUAUUUUCUUAUGAUAGGUGUUUUAGUUAAAACAAUGUAUAUAACACUUUAUAUAUGUCUAGUACUUUAUAGUUUCCAAUCCCUUUUUCACAUACUCCCUUUGAUCCUUGUGGUACAAAAGUGCCAGGAUAGAAUUUUGAAGUUCUACCUAAUCAUAGUUAAAGAACUAAAUGAGAGGAUGAGUCAAAUGUUCAGAAUUCUUCACCAAUGACUUCAAUUGUUUUGGAUCACUUAACAUUCAACAAGGCUACAAAGCAUUUUAAAAAUUGAAUGAACAGACUAGAAAUUAUACUUACUGUCUGUGUAUUUAUUUGGAGUUUUCAGACACAAUAAAAUCUAAUCGAAUCUAGACAUGUGGUGAACUAUAAGCCUUCUCAAUCAUGCCUCUUCACAAACAUUGCCAAUUAUCAAGCAGCAUUAAAAUACAAUAAAAUUAAAGCAAGGGCUGUUUGAAAACUUUUUAGCUACUUGUCAAUUAAAAGAGAAACUUAUAAACUACUAAAUAUACCUUAAGGAACUUGGUAUUCCUCAUCAAAUUUUGUGAAAAACUUGUUAACUCCUUCAAAAAUUAACCCAGAAAAUACUGAGAAAAAA